This 253-nucleotide ribosomal RNA is filed under the name uncultured bacterium. RNAcentral describes it as "partial 16S ribosomal RNA". It matches the Rfam family "Bacterial small subunit ribosomal RNA", at positions 524 to 776 of the family's 1533-position model. The record is from RNAcentral.
UACGUAGGGUGCGAGCGUUAUCCGGAAUUAUUGGGCGUAAAGCGCAUGUAGGCGGUUUGUUAAGUCUGGUGUGAAAGCUCAAGGCCUAACCUUGAAAUUGCAUUGGAAACUGGCAAACUAGAAUACUGGAGGGGUAAGUGGAAUUCCAUGUGUAGCGGUGGAAUGCGUAGAUAUAUGGAGGAACACCAAUGGCGAAGGCAGCUUACUGGACAGUUAUUGACGCUGAGAUGCGAAAGCGUGGGGAGCAAACAGG